RNAcentral lists this ribosomal RNA (320 nucleotides) under uncultured eukaryote. RNAcentral's name for it is "partial 18S ribosomal RNA". It matches the Rfam family "Eukaryotic small subunit ribosomal RNA", at positions 1470 to 1796 of the family's 1831-position model. The record is from RNAcentral.
CCCUUAGAUGUUCUGGGCCGCACGCGCGCUACACUGAUUCAUGCAACAAGUUCUGUCCUUGGCUGAAAGGCCUGGGUAAUCUUUGAACGUGAAUCGUGCUGGGGAUAGAUGAUUGCAAUUAUUCAUCUUCAACGAGGAAUUCCUAGUAAACGCAAGUCAUCAGCUUGCAUUGAUUACGUCCCUGCCCUUUGUACACACCGCCCGUCGCACCUACCGAUUGAAUGGUCCGGUGAAAUCUCGGGACGGCGGCUUGGUCGCUUGCGUCCGACUGCUGAAACUUGAUUAAACCAUAUCAUUUAGAGGAAGGUGAAGUCGUAACA